GGUAGCGUGGCCGAGUUGGUCUAAGGCGUUGGAUUUAAGUCGAUUGAUUCCCAAUGGGGGCAACCCCGCGCGAGUUCGAACCUCGCCGCUACCA
Collybia nuda is the source of this 94-nucleotide non-coding RNA. Lineage: Eukaryota; Fungi; Basidiomycota; Agaricomycetes; Agaricales; Clitocybaceae. The record is from the annotation of a GenBank genome assembly.